AUGCUCUCUUCGGCAGCACAUAUACUAAAAUUGGAACAAUAAAGAGAAGAUUAGCAUGGCCCCUGUGCAAGGAUGACACAAAUUAGUGAAGCACUCCAUAUUUGU
Molecule: small nuclear RNA, 105 nt
Organism: Equus caballus (horse)
Lineage: Eukaryota; Metazoa; Chordata; Mammalia; Perissodactyla; Equidae
Source: Ensembl